This 65-nucleotide non-coding RNA is filed under the name Betaproteobacteria bacterium. RNAcentral's name for it is "Fluoride sequence". It matches the Rfam family "Fluoride riboswitch aptamer (crcB RNA motif)". Lineage: Bacteria; Pseudomonadati; Pseudomonadota; Betaproteobacteria. The record is from RNAcentral.
AUUCUGCCGGGAGAUGGCAUUCCUCCUUUAACCGCCGCGCGCCGGCUAAUGAUGCCUACACGGAA